RNAcentral lists this long non-coding RNA (264 nucleotides) under Chinchilla lanigera (long-tailed chinchilla). RNAcentral's name for it is "lncRNA (ENSCLAG00000028736.1)". Lineage: Eukaryota; Metazoa; Chordata; Mammalia; Rodentia; Chinchillidae. The record is from RNAcentral.
AUGUCUCCAGCUCGACCUCGCGGCCGGGCGCCCCUUUCGGGUCACUACCUGUGGGGUGUCGGAGUCUGGAGGACAGCGCUGCCAUCCCGUCGGAAAGGAAGCCCCAACCAAAGUCCAGUCCAGGACCCCCAGCUCAGUCCUCACUUGUGUUCCAUGAGGUGUAGGAACAGUGCUUCGGGGAGCUGUGCCCUGCCUCUCAUGCAAGAUGACUGUGUUAAUUUCCACUGUCAGGAUGUGAGAUUUGUGCUGAAAAUGUUACAGUGA